RNAcentral lists this ribosomal RNA (440 nucleotides) under uncultured bacterium. Its description in RNAcentral is "partial 16S ribosomal RNA". It matches the Rfam family "Bacterial small subunit ribosomal RNA", at positions 338 to 795 of the family's 1533-position model. The record is from RNAcentral.
CCUACGGGUGGCAGCAGUGGGGAAUAUUGCACAAUGGGGGAAACCCUGAUGCAGCGACGCCGCGUGAGGGAAGAAGGCCUUCGUGAUGUAAAGCUCUAUCAGCAGGGAAGAAAAUUACGGUACCUGAGUAAUCCUCCCCGGCUAACUACGUGCCAGCAGCCGCGGUAAUACGUAGGGGGCAAGCGUUAUCCGGAUUUACUGGGUGUAACGGGAGCGUAGACGGCAGUGCAAGUCUGGAGUGAAAGGCGGGGGCUCAACCCCAGGACUGCUAUGGAAACUGUAAGGCUGGAGUGCAGGAGAGGUAAGUGGAAUUCCUGGUGUAGCGGUGAAAUGCGUAGAUAUUAGGAGGAACACCAGUGGCGAAGGCGGCUUACUGGACUGUAACUGACGUUGAGGCUCGAAAGCGUGGGGAGCAAACAGGAUUAGAUACCCGAGUAGUC